GAUGACGGCCCUAUGGGUUGUAAACUUCUUUUGCAGGGGAAUAAAGAUAUUCACGUGUGGGUAGUUGUAUGUACCCUGCGAAUAAGCAUCGGCUAACUCCGUGCCAGCAGCCGCGGUAAUACGGAGGAUGCGAGCGUUAUCCGGAUUUAUUGGGUUUAAAGGGUGCGUAGGUGGGCUAUUAAGUCAGUGGUGAAAGUUUGUCGCUCAACGAUAAAAUUGCCGUUGAAACUGGUGGUCUUGAGUAUGGAUGAAGUAGGCGGAAUGCGUGGUGUAGCGGUGAAAUGCAUAGAGAUCACGCAGAACUCCGAUUGCGAAGGCAGCUUACUAAGGCAUAACUGACACUGAAGCACGAAAGCGUGGGUAUCAAACAGGAUUAGAUACCCUGGUAGUCCACGCAGUAAACGAUGAUUACUAGGAGUUUGCGAUAUAGUGUAAGCUCUACAGCGAAAGCGUUAAGUAAUCCACCUGGGGAGUACGCCGGCAACGGUGAAACUCAAAGGAAUUGACGGGGGCCCGCACAAG
This 522-nucleotide ribosomal RNA is filed under the name uncultured bacterium. Its description in RNAcentral is "bacterial SSU rRNA". It matches the Rfam family "Bacterial small subunit ribosomal RNA", at positions 407 to 929 of the family's 1533-position model. The record is from RNAcentral.